UCGCGCAAAGGAUACUCAUCUUUUAUGCGAUACAAACUUUAACCGGAUGCUUUGGAUAUCACAUCAGAAUCUAUAUAAACUUAUGCAAGCUUAUCACUGCGCAAUUGAAAGAGUGUUCUGAGAUGAGAAAUGCCAAGAAAAUUAAAAUAGAUCUCUCGUCGUCAUAAAAUCCACAUUGGUGAUCGUGUCAGAGCAUGUAAUUCACGACAUCCUUAAGGAAUUGACUUGAUUUCCUCGAAACAAAAUGUUGCUUGCUGUUGAGUCAACCGUAUCUGAAAUAUGCCACUCUUGGAAUGAGGUUUCGUUGAAAUAAGUUAAAAAUAUACAAUUGCAAAUACGUUGAUUUAACGUAUUCUCUUCUUAAAAACGAUAAUCUUCUCAAACUAUAUUAUUCUUUCUUUAGAUGAAGGCCGAUAAUAAUAAAAAGAUUUCUAUUUUAGAAACUUCUUCAAAUAAGCUUGUUAUAAAUCUCACGAGCAAUAAGUGCUAGAAAUAGAAAUGAAAUACAGUGAUUUUCUUUUAUAAUAUAAUGAUGGUGCAAAAAGAAAUAGUGGAACGAAAGGCAAAAGAGGCAAAAGAAAAAUAUGCCACCUCCACCAACUUGAAAGCGUGAUGCUAUACCUUGUAUAAUCUCAUAAUUAUCUCAGCCAAAAUCGCAAAAUCAUCAUCGGUAACAGAUAAACGUUUAUGUCGAUAAGAAAAGCGAUUCGAAGAAAUAACAGUCAUGUAAUCUCAACAUCAAAAGAGUAUAAAUAAAGGAGAUUAUAAGAAGAGAUCAUUAUUCUAAAAGAAUAGAUAAACUUCGGAAUCGAUUAGCUUUGUAUUCGAUUGUCGAUAAGUGCUGAUAAGUGGUAUAUUUAAGAAAAUUAUGAAAAAAGAAAACUCGUCAUCUUGUAUCCUCAAGAUAUUAUCAUAACCAAUGAUGGAAUUAACAAAACUAAAGUUAUUAUUUCUUCGAAUAAAUCAGAAUCAACAUCAACAUCAAUAAACGAAACUCAUCCAAUUAUUAAAAUAUAUUAAAAUAAAGUUUGAAAAAAAGUCUAAAAAACAAUGUGUAAAAUUAACACAAACAAUAACAUAUUUUGGAGAUUUGAAUCACUAAUAAUAUCCGAAUAGAAUCAAAUUGACAAUUGGAAACAGAGAGCAGAAUGCAACAUCCAGUAACCAGUAAAAUAAAUGUUAUUAAUUUCUAAAUCUCUUUUUAAAAUAAAUCUGUUCAUUUACAUAUACUUUAAUUUGAAUUUCAAAAAAAUUCACGAUAGAAGACAAAUUAAAAUCCUUAUAAUUAAUAUCAUUAAUAAAACAUGAAAUCAAGGAUUUCAAACGAUUUUAUAAAAAAUUUACUAGUCUGGUACUAGUCAUUGGUACAUCAGUGACUGCUGAUGCAUUUAUAAUCGGAUACAUAAUAAAAAUUUAAC
Apis cerana (Asiatic honeybee) is the source of this 1418-nucleotide long non-coding RNA. RefSeq lists it as uncharacterized. Lineage: Eukaryota; Metazoa; Arthropoda; Insecta; Hymenoptera; Apidae. The record is from RefSeq and is a predicted model, not a curated record.